UACAGAGGGUGCGAGCGUUAAUCGGAAUUACUGGGCGUAAAGCGCACGUAGGUGGCGACGUAAGUCGGGUGUGAAAGCCCCGGGCUCAACCUGGGAAUUGCACUCGAGACUGCAUUGCUGGAGUACGGAAGAGGAGGGCGGAAUUCCCGGUGUAGCGGUGAAAUGCGUAGAGAUCCGGAAGAACACCGGUGGCGAAGGCGGUCGACUGGGCCAGUACUGACGCUGAGGCGCGACAGCGUGGGGAGCAAACAGG
RNAcentral lists this ribosomal RNA (253 nucleotides) under uncultured bacterium. RNAcentral's name for it is "partial 16S ribosomal RNA". It matches the Rfam family "Bacterial small subunit ribosomal RNA", at positions 524 to 776 of the family's 1533-position model. The record is from RNAcentral.